UCCAGAUGUUGUCUUGGCACAGAAAUCCU
RNAcentral lists this non-coding RNA (29 nucleotides) under Rattus norvegicus (Norway rat). Lineage: Eukaryota; Metazoa; Chordata; Mammalia; Rodentia; Muridae. The record is from RNAcentral.